RNAcentral lists this ribosomal RNA (477 nucleotides) under uncultured anaerobic ammonium-oxidizing bacterium. RNAcentral describes it as "bacterial SSU rRNA". It matches the Rfam family "Bacterial small subunit ribosomal RNA", at positions 365 to 832 of the family's 1533-position model. The record is from RNAcentral.
UUCGCAAUGCCCGAAAGGGUGACGAUGCGACGCCGCGUGAGCGAAGAAGGCCCUAGGGUUGUAAAGCCCUGUCAGGAGUUAAGAAAUGUAAGUGUGCUAAUAUCGCAUUUACUUGACGAAGGCUCCAAAGGAAGUCACGGCUAACUCUGUGCCAGCAGCCGCGGUAAUACAGAGGUGGCAAGCGUUGUUCGGAAUUAUUGGGCGUAAAGAGCACGUAGGUGGGUUUGUAAGUCAGAUGUGAAAGCCUCCUGUUCAACGGGAGAAUUGCAUCUGAAACUGAGAAUCUUGAGUGUAGGAGGGGAGAAUGGAACUUCUGGUGGAGCGGUGAAAUGCGUAGAUAUCAGAAGGAACGCCGGCGGCGAAAGCGAUUCUCUGGCCUAUUACUGACACUCAGUGUGCGAAAGCUAGGGGAGCAAACGGGAUUAGAUACCCCGGUAGUCCUAGCCGUAAACGAUGGGCACUAAGUAGAGGGGUUUU